Molecule: ribosomal RNA, 325 nt
Filed under: uncultured Pseudomonadota bacterium
Lineage: Bacteria; Pseudomonadati; Pseudomonadota
Description: bacterial SSU rRNA
Rfam family: Bacterial small subunit ribosomal RNA
Source: RNAcentral
AUUGAACGUUGGCGGCAGGCCUAAAACAUGCAAGUCGAACGGUAACAGCGGAAGCUUGCUUCCGGCUGACGAGUGGCGGACGGGUGAGUAACACGUAGGAAUCUACCUAGUAGUGGGGGACAACCCGGGGAAACCCGGGCUAAUACCGCAUACGCUCUACGGAGGAAAGCGGGGGAUCUUCGGACCUCGCGCUAUUGGAGGAGCCUGCGUCGGAUUAGCUAGUUGGUGGGGUAAAGGCCUACCAAGGCGACGAUCCGUAGCUGGUCUGAGAGGACGAUCAGCCACACUGGAACUGAGACACGGUCCAGACUCCUACGGGAGGCAG